UCCACUAAUGGGUGGUACUUACAAACUGACGCCCUUUUUUGCUAUUUUUGUUAUUGGUGUUUUAUUUUAUAAUUGUUUUGUUGCUAACUAUAUUCUUUAAUGUGUCCUUAUGUGUCCCGCAUUGUUCCUUCUUCAAUUGUUUUUUUUUUGUUGUAAAUUGUGUACUGUCCAAUGUGUUCGUUCAUAUUCGAUAUAUGUCUGCUGAACUAUUUUCAUCUUUCAAGUAUCAUCGCUAGUAGGAGAUGAACAUGCAUGGGUUAUAUUCUUCUUAAAAAAUAUUUUUUGAAAAUUCGGUGGUUUAUAUAUCCGGCUUUUUAACUUUUUCAGUAUUUUCAAUUUCUAUCUAUUUUCUUGAUCGCCUAUUUAGAUGUCAACUCUCUCAUUGUUCACGUUUUUCUUUAUAUGUGUAUCAUUUUGAUAUUGUUGGAUAAGAAUUGGAAUGUCGUACAACAUUAUUUCAUAUUUUAAAAUUGAGAAUGGAAAUGGGGAAUCUGUCAAAGAGACAACAACCCGCCCAAAGAGCAGAAAACAGCCCAAGGCCACCAAUGGGUCUUCAACACAGCGAGAAAAUCCCGCACCCGGAGACGGGCUUCAGCUGCCCCCUAAACAAAAAUGUGUACUAGUUCAGUGAAAAUGGACGUCACACUAAACUCCGAAACAUAUAAAUGAACUAAAAUUAAAAAACAUACAAGACUAACAAAGGUCAGGCUCCUGACUUGGGACAGGCGCAAAAAUGUGGCUGGGUUAAAAAAACAUGUUUUGUGAGAUUUCAUUAUUUGUUACUUAGUUUUUAAGAUGAAUUUUGAUAUUAUCACAACGUUAUAUUUGACGUGGAUGAAUAUUAUCGAUUUCUAAUUUUACUACUAUGGUUUACAUGGUAACAAAGUAGACAUUUACCGUUUAUGGCAAAUGAUUUAAACUUUGUUUUCAAAGUUUGGUGAUAAACAUUACGGUAAACAGAUAAAAAGGAUAAUACAAUCCUUAUCAUAUCUCAAUUUUAAAAAACAAGGUCUUACUGUUACGUAAUCAUUCAAUAGUUUAACAAAAUUUGUUUUCAGUUCAUGUUACUAAACAGAGAAAUCUGAGCCAUCCGGUGCGUCAUGUAAGUAGAUAAGUUGUUGUUGUUCAUUUGCAUGUGAUAUAAGUAGUAUAAAUAUAGUGUUUUAUACCAAAUACACAUUAAGUCAUUGAAGUCUACAAAAUACACAUAAAAGUCCUGGACGUCUACAUACAACAAACUGUGAGAUGGAAACUAAAUAUCUACUUGUGCUUUUAAUUGCUCUUUAUACUGUAUUCAUGUAUACAGUUGAUGCACUGCAAUCUAUCAUCGAUCCAUCAAAUAUUCCAGGAUCAAGCUAUUGUGGAAAAGGCAGAAGAGUAAUAGGACAAUAUACCGUGGGUGUGAACUAAAGCAUACUUUGAUUUCAUAUGAUCAAAAAGGUAAAACAUGAACAUUUAUAGAAAGUUCAAGUAAGACGUUCCAUAACAGUACAGGUGAUGCAACAAACCAGUGAAACCAAGGAAGGCAUACAAUCUACAUGGCAGACUACUCUGAGUAACAAACUAGAAAUAUCAUAUAUAUUGUGUGAUGAAAACAUUACAUUCUGCUGAUGUAAGCUUGUGUAUUACGGUCGUUUUAUCUUAUUAGAAUAACUAUGACUUGCUUAUAUACCAUAUAAGCUAAGCAUCACGAAGAGACUACUGAGAAAUAUGAAAAAAAAUCAAUGUAAAAAUAAAAUGGAUAUAACUUUAUAUGUUUAAUCUGCAAAUAAAUGAAAUAAAUCCUAA
Mytilus californianus (California mussel) is the source of this 1788-nucleotide long non-coding RNA. RefSeq lists it as uncharacterized. The record is from RefSeq and is a predicted model, not a curated record. Lineage: Eukaryota; Metazoa; Mollusca; Bivalvia; Mytilida; Mytilidae. The transcript is spliced from 2 exons.